Long non-coding RNA from Fundulus heteroclitus (mummichog), 512 nucleotides. RefSeq lists it as uncharacterized. Lineage: Eukaryota; Metazoa; Chordata; Actinopteri; Cyprinodontiformes; Fundulidae. The transcript is spliced from 4 exons. The record is from RefSeq and is a predicted model, not a curated record.
AUUCGCAGGCAAUAAGUUGUUAAUCAAGAACCACCAGUCAGUGACCUGAAAGAAAGAUGGCGGGCUCUUUUUGACGCAGCUCAAAUUAACCAAGAAUUCAGGAGGAUCACAAAUGUUAGCCUGGAGACAACAUUCCUGGCAAAACUGGACCAAUACUCCCUGAAAAUAAUGUACCUGUUGUCCUCAAGAGGGGGGACUGCAAAAAUGAAUAUUCAGCGCAUACAGAACAUGCUGCUAGAGGACAAUUAUGUGGAGACACGGAGGGAGGCUGCCAUCCGUGGGUUAAUGGUGUAUCUUAAGGAAAAGGAGGAGCAACUCUUCAAAGAGGAGGAUGGAGAUGGGGAUAGUACGGACCAACUGAUGAAGAUUGUCACAACACGAGGUGGCUCUGAUCCAGCCCAUGCAAAGAUUGUCAUAGAGGGAACAGAGGUACUAACAGAUGUGGAUAUUCCCAGAGUCUGUACCUUGCUAAUGGGGCUAAUAUACGCACUCAACCUCAGCUACCCAAAAGG